UUGUUUGGGGACUCUGUCCUCCUUACGAUUCACCCUUGCUUUUUUUUUGCGCACCCUUUGUUUCCUCGGCAGCUUUGCCUGCCAAUGAGGACCCCCCAAAAACCUUUUGCAAUCCUAGUAUAACGUUCUGAAAACAAACAAUAUUA
This 146-nucleotide unclassified non-coding RNA is filed under the name uncultured Leptosphaeria. Its description in RNAcentral is "sequence contains ITS1". The record is from RNAcentral. Lineage: Eukaryota; Fungi; Ascomycota; Dothideomycetes; Pleosporales; Leptosphaeriaceae.